AUUGAACGCUGGCGGCAGGCCUAACACAUGCAAGUCGAGCGGAGCGGCGGACGGGUGAGUAAUGCCUAGGAAUCUGCCUGGUAGUGGGGGAUAACGUCCGGAAACGGGCGCUAAUACCGCAUACUAUCAGAUGAGCCUAGGUCGGAUUAGCUAGUUGGGGGGGUAAAGGCCUACCAAGGCGACGAUCCGUAACUGGUCUGAGAGGAUGAUCAGUCACCCUGGAACUGAGACACGGUCCAGACUCCUACGGGAGGCAGUAGUGGGGAAUAAUGGACAAUGGGCGAAAGCCUGAUCCAGCCAGGCCGCGUGUGGGAAGAAGGUCUUCGGAGUGUAAAGCACUUUAAGUUGGGAGGCGUUACCAACAGAAUAAGCACCGGCUAACUUCGUGCCAGCAGCCGCGGUAAUUC
This 407-nucleotide ribosomal RNA is filed under the name uncultured bacterium. Its description in RNAcentral is "partial 16S ribosomal RNA". It matches the Rfam family "Bacterial small subunit ribosomal RNA", at positions 30 to 526 of the family's 1533-position model. The record is from RNAcentral.